UUGGUAACCGCUGUGAGAAGAAGAAGCAGCAGAACUUUUGAAAGGACGACGCGAGGCUCGCAAAUAUAAUUUAUUUUCAUAUUCCUACAGGAAUUUCCGCCGAGGAACAUUUAACGCAUCUAAAUCUGCAAUUUGAAUAAACUAGCCGUUAACCUCGAGAUGGAAGGUAUUUCUACAUCGAUGGACACACUGCCACCAAAACACGUUUUGGAGAUAUGGGCAAUUCUGUUGGUAAUCCUGGCAACGGUUGUCGUCAUGACUACCUUGUUAGCUGGCCCUGCAGUCGGUCUCAUCCUCUAUCGGGUUCGCACUAGCCCUGGCAGGCACCAGAACUGCUGACGCAUUUGAAAGGGCAGCUUGUACUUCCUUUCUGCAGUGGAGCUGUAAACUGUACAGUGAUUGCCCCUCAAAGGCCUGGAUGGACUCGUGCUAUUGCCUUCCCAAUGGACAUGGAGUCCAGAGGCUGGAGAAAUAGUUGCUGUCUUAACCCACAGCCACACACGGUAGCAUCUAUCUGUCUCCUCCUCAUACAGGGGAAGAGUCACAGUCAUGCCCUGUGACUUACAGGAAUUCAUGAAUCACAGAGUAAGUGGGCAUUAGAGGUCUAGCUAAUGGAACUAGAAGUGAGUAAUGGCUAGGUGGUUAGUGUAUAAUGUCCACACUACUGACAGCCACAGUGUAACUUUAAAGGUUCAGUGCACCAAUUAGUCCAAGAUGAGACCUUUACUCUCCAGGUGUUACCAGGGGUUUUUUAUACCCAGUCAUCAUAUUUUCACAGUAUAUUUGCACAUUUAUUGUGCCAGAGGCCUUCAUUUCUUCCAUCAUUCUUUUUUGGGAUGAGGCAGAGGAAGCCCUGCUGACUGGUUCCCUCCCUCCCUGGGCGAUGCUUUGGCUCCAUGGGACUGCCUGGCAUAGGACUGUGGGUUACAUCACAGCACUGUGAAUGAGUGCUUAAGCUAGACAUGCCACAUAUAACAGUGUAAGGAUUACAUUUCAUUAGUAAUUCUGCAAAUUGCAUUUUUAAACAAAGAAGAUAAAAUCCAGUUCUCAUAAUACAUAUAAUUGACUAUAUAUACGUACACUGCAUUUUUAUUAGAAAACAUUGACAACCACAAAUGUAAUCUAAAAGGCACUAGUGGGCCCUUUUCCAAUAAUAUUCAGGCCCAAACUUUAUACCAAACAUUACAUUCACUUAUUCUGCUAACGGUAACGACAUCAGCUUUAAGUUUUUAAAAUCAGCUGCUUAUGUCAUUUUGUGGGGAACAGUAUCAAAAUCACAUAGGCUUUUAUAUAUAUACAUAUAUAUAUAUAUAUAUAUAUAUAUAUAUAUAUACAUACUAUAUAUAUAUAAAGAACCAUCAGUGGGAGAAAAGCUUUGAAUAAUAUUUGGAUAAUGCUUUCAUAACACUUGGUCAUGACUCAUGAGCGAGACAAGCCAGUCACCAUCUCACCAUCCACAAAGACAAGUACAGUCAUUCAAAAUCCACAAACAUCGGUUUAACCGGGAAUUUACAAACAUUACAUCGCAGUCGGAAUUUUUACAAACUUUCCCAAGUUAUUGUCUGCAAUGUACAGGUAUAAUUUAUUAUAGAAACUCAUGGGAAACACCUAUAAUUGAAAAAAUAUUCCCAGAAUAGGAACUGGGAUAUUUUUAAGGAAAGGAAUAUCAAGAAGGGAACUUUUUCACAAAUGAAGAAGUUGCUCAGACACUAAAUUCAGGAAGUUCAUGUGCAUGCAUGUGUUUUCAUACCACCCAUCAUUACAAUGUAAACAACAAACCUGUUACUUUAACAGUUAUAUUUUUGCAGUUAACAGAUAAAAUAAUCUGUAAUAAUAUUAAAAGAAGAUUAUAAAAAUGAAUGUGCAUGUGAACUUGAAAAAAACCCACCCUAACUACUGAACUGUUGAAAAUAUGAGCAAAAUUCCUAAAUCUGGGAUGCAAUACAUAGAAGUCAGUGAGUGAAUUAUCGAUAAUGCAUUUUCUGGAUAACAAGGAAUAAUUCAUCAAGCACAGUGUGGUUCUGUGCAAUAUUUCACUACAGAUUGUGCAUACGGUACAUGUACAGUAGAUAAUUACUUCAUCGUUCAUUGAUUUGAGCAAAUGGUGCUUGGACUGAAUGUGGACAAUUUGCAGUGUCUGUGCCUUCAUGUAGCUUUACACUGUAAAUAUGUUCCCACACUUUCAUUUCACUUUCACGCGUUCAUGAUGAACAGGGGUUAAGAGUUGUGUUAUUUUAGCAUCUACUGCUAAACUGAACAACUGAUCCGGAUCUACAGAGUUCAUUUUAAUGCAUUUUAGUCUGGAUCAGAAAAUGAAUGUUGGAAAUAUCCCCAUCAAGAGGGAGACAUGCUAGGGGGCUAAAGAGGACAGUCCAGAAAAGCAGCAGCGAAGCUGUAUCAACAGGAAGCGUGGGCGGGAUGCGUGCCUGUCUCCCAGCUAGAGUAAACAACCCCGUUUACACACACUGCAGGGAGCUUUCAUUUUCCCAGCAUUCCUUGUUCCAGACCUUCACAUGUACUGUGCACAGAGGCGCCCCUGAGAUUUUGGGGGCCAUAAGCAGAAUUUUAUUUCCUCCUCCAAAAUAAUAAUCAUUUCAUUUUUGUAAAUAAAUCUAAAUAAACAUUUUUUUUUACAUCCCA
Conger conger (European conger) is the source of this 2640-nucleotide long non-coding RNA. RefSeq lists it as uncharacterized. The record is from RefSeq and is a predicted model, not a curated record. NCBI's taxonomy places the organism in Eukaryota, Metazoa, Chordata, Actinopteri, Anguilliformes, Congridae. The transcript has 2 exons.